CAAAGCCUGGAGACAACUCACAGCUCCUCUAAGACCCUCUUCUCUCUCUCUUUCUUUCUCUCUCUCCCUCCCUCUCUUUCUCUCUCUCUUUCUCGCUGCAUCGCUUUCAGAAACGGACGUAAAUCGACGGAAAGGGGAAGGAAGUAAAGAAGAAGUUGGAAGCGGAAGCUCGGAGGAGCCGAACCCGCGGGCUUUCCGCGCUCGUGCGGGAGUCGCGCGCCUGCGAUCACGGAUCCUUCAGCCAGGCAGGACCCGUGUGUGCCUCAAUGGAGUAAGACACCCAUCACCUGCUUCGUGAUGGUGCAUAUCCAGCACUGUCCUGCCCUAUCCAGUACUGUCCAGCACUCAAGAAUAAACCACACAGCAGAAAGAGAGAGACAGAGGAGAAGAGAAGAGCCAGGGAGUGGGAGGGGGAGAUGAAGGAUGGAUAGCGAUAGAUGGAUGAACUUGGAGAGGUCCAGCUCAGAUUGUGAUCGCCGGGGGCUCUCCUGCUAUCUUCCUCCUCUGCAGGCCCCUCUCUCCAGCCCGGGGAGCGUGCUAGCGCACCGAGGCCAGCUAGGGUGAGCUGUCAUGGGCUUGGAGAGGUAGCCUGAACCCCCCCUCCUCGGUCAGCACCACCUCUGGAGCCCAGAGUGAAAUCAAUAUGAGGAAAGAGAGACUGAUGCUGGAUCACCCAAGCUAGCCCCCCAGCCGCGAGCCAAAUGACCUCUCACACACACAUACAUCGGCACAGUCACACACGUUAGCAUACAUAGUUAUGCUCUAUCUGUCUCUCUCACUUACAAAGUCAUGCUAACACGCUAACAUGCGUACAGUUAUGCUCUUUCACACACACACACAAAUAUACACUAGUGUUACUAAAGACCUCGCACAAGUCCUGACUCCCACACACCUAACCAUGUGUAUGUGUGUGUGUGUAAGGUUUACCUUGAGGGCAUGUUAUUUUGGACCAGCUCUCUACAACCCAAACAGGCCUCAAUUAUUUUUCCUGAAGAUGCCAAAAGGUCCUAGCUGGCUUCUCCCCUCUUUCUCUCACACUCUCUCUCCAUCGCUCUACCUUCAGCCAUGCCGCCUCCCACUCUUGGCGCGAGAGAGAAAUUAUUCAAAUAUGUUUGUACAACGAUGAACUUCCUCCCCCGAGCAUCUCAUUGCCCAUUCUGUGGCAAAGACUUGAAAGAAGGAAGCACUUUGCUGUGCCGUGCCUUGCUGCACUAAGACUCCUACACUCCUCCGCACCAAGGAGGUUAACGCACCAUCAUACCUCAGCCAUUAUGACCACCUCUCUCACUGCCAAGCAGAGUGUUCCCUCAAGAACAACAGCCAUCAGUCAGUCGAGCCAUGGGACAGUGUGGACUAAGCAGAGCCCAGUACAGCAUUACAGCAGAAGUGAGGCUAAAACUACAAGCUCAAGUGCAGAACACAUCGAACUUCAACCUCAGCCAAAAAGAUCACUCACUGCAGGGAUGCUGAAUUAAGACUGAAGAGUAGACUGACCGGCCCUUCUGGAAAGAGAGAAACAGCACUGAACACAAUGACGACGCUGAUGACAGUGAUGUCCAACAGCUCUCGUUCAGGCCCAGCACUGGGAGAAGAAAACAGCCAUCAGACGUGCACUGCAGGACUGUGCUGAGUUUUUUGUGAAUUGUACACAACCUCAAAAAUGAGUUUCUAUUGAAUGUCUUACCUUUGCUCCUGAGGUUCUUUUGAUUUAUACUUCAACCUAAAGUCUGGAUAUUUCAUGACAUUUCUGUUGCAGUGUAAACACCCGAAGACUGUGGUCAAUCUGCAAAAGGUAAGCAAACAAUAAGAGGUAAGUGAGACACAUGCACAAAUAUAUUAUUGUUUGUUUUUGGCAAUGUUCAUACUCAGAACUAGUUUAUAUAUGUCUUAUAUAAUAUUCAAAUACUCUUUCCCAAGACAGUUACUGGGAAAUGGAAUAGAACUGGAAGGAAAGGAAAAAUGGUUUACAUGUGGCUAUUUCUGUAUCACUCCAUCAUGGUGGUACUUCUGAAUGCUUUUAGUUCUUGCUGCCUUCUCAGCACAUCAAUAACAGCAAAUAUAUAAUACAUCAUAACAUCACUGUCCAACGAAAGACAUGAAUCUAAGUAGCUUUACAGGAGAAGGGAAAAACUUAACUUCUUCUUAACUUUUAAUGCAAGGAUUGGAAAGAGAUUUUAGCCCAAAUCAUUUUGGAGCCUUUCUAUUCUAUUCUAUUCUAUUCUAUUCUAUUCACUAAUUGUAAAAAAGUUUUACACACUGUAAAAGACAACUGCUGAAAAAAGGAUGAUACAUAUUUUUAGACAGUGAUGAGAAAGUUUCUUUUUAUUUUUCUGUCUUAAAGCUUUUUUCAAUAAAGUUUUGAAUACAGUA
Molecule: long non-coding RNA, 2370 nt
Organism: Pygocentrus nattereri (red-bellied piranha)
Lineage: Eukaryota; Metazoa; Chordata; Actinopteri; Characiformes; Serrasalmidae
Exons: 5
Source: RefSeq, a predicted model, not a curated record